CAGUCACAUCACGUUGAAACACCGAUUCCUGUAAGAUUACUGAAGUUAAACAACAUCAAACCUAGUCAGUACUUAGGUGGGUGACCGCUUGGGAAUAUCAGGUGUUGUAAG
This is a non-coding RNA of Acanthosepion pharaonis, 111 nucleotides long. The record is from the annotation of a GenBank genome assembly. NCBI's taxonomy places the organism in Eukaryota, Metazoa, Mollusca, Cephalopoda, Sepiida, Sepiidae.